RNAcentral lists this transfer RNA (74 nucleotides) under Planctomycetia bacterium. RNAcentral describes it as "tRNA-Arg". It matches the Rfam family "tRNA". From Rfam's summary of the family: Transfer RNA (tRNA) molecules are approximately 80 nucleotides in length. Their secondary structure includes four short double-helical elements and three loops (D, anti-codon, and T loops). The record is from RNAcentral. Lineage: Bacteria; Pseudomonadati; Planctomycetota; Planctomycetia.
GUCUCCAUAGCUCAAUUGGAUAGAGCGUUGGCCUCCGAAGCCGAAGGUUGCAGGUUCGAUUCCUGUUGGAGACG